This 1146-nucleotide long non-coding RNA is filed under the name Zosterops lateralis melanops. Its description in RNAcentral is "lncRNA (ENSZLMG00000010710.1)". Lineage: Eukaryota; Metazoa; Chordata; Aves; Passeriformes; Zosteropidae. The record is from RNAcentral.
UUGGAAUGGGAGAGGCUGUGAGGUGUCCUGGUGUUUCUCUCUGCAGGAGCUGCUGUCACUGGGGCCCUCUGGUCCCUUCACCUCUCCUGACCCAUCCCACGCCCCACCAUGGCCCGGUGCUGGUCCCCACACCCAGUGCCUGGCCUGGCAGGAGGCCCCAGUGCCAGGUGGUGAUCCUGGCGCUCCCAGUUUCCUGGUGCUGCAGCUGUCGAGUUCUCCCACUUCCUCAGAGCUACAGCUUCUCGGUGCUGUGGCUGCCCAAUGCUUCCAGUUCCUGGCUGAACGCUGCUCCCGGUUCCCCGUGCCGGAGGUGCCUGGUCCUCCCGGUUCUCCUGUGCCCAUGAUUUGCUGGCUUCCUGAGGCUCCUGGUUCCCUGGAGCCGCGGCUCUCUGGAGCCGCCGGUUUCCCGGUUUCCCUGUGCUGCAGCUUCCCGACGGUCCCGGCUUGUAGAUGCCCAUGGUUUUACCACUUCCCGAUGCCCACGGCUUCCCGGUUCCCCGGUGCUGUGACUCCCGAUGCUCCUGAUUCCCCGGUGCCCACAGUUUUCUCUCUCCCCGGUGCCCACGGUUUUCCCGCUCUCUGGUUGCCUCCUUCCCCRUGUUCCCAGUGUUGCAGCUCUCCAGUGCCCACGGUUAACCCUUUCCCGGUGCCCCCGGUUUUCCCGUGCCCACCAUUCCCUGGUUCUCUGGAUCCCACGACUCCCGGAUGCKCUGGUUUCCCGUUUCCCCGAUCCUGUGACUUCCCAGUUGCUCGGCAGUCCCGGUUCCCCGGUGCCCACGGUUUUCCCAUUCCCUGGCUUCCCGUUUCUCGGUUGCUGCGUCUCCCUUCUCCUCUCGGUUCUCCGGUUCCCACGGUUCUCCCGCUCCCCGGUUGCCCAUUUUCCCGUUUCCCCGGUGCUGCGGCUUUCCAGUACUCACGAUUUCCUGGAGCCCACAGCUCCCCCGUUCCCCGGUUUCCCUUUUCYCCGGUACUGCGGCUCCCCGUGUUCCCGGUUACCCGGUGCCGCGCCUCCCCAUUGCUCCCGAUUCCUCGAUGCUCCCGGUUUCACGUUUCCCCAGUGUUCCCGGUUCUCUGGCUUCCCGUUUCCACGGCGCUGCGGCUCCCAGUCUUCCCGGUUGCCCGGUUCCCCGAUGCUCCCGUUUCCCC